This 429-nucleotide ribosomal RNA is filed under the name uncultured bacterium. RNAcentral describes it as "bacterial SSU rRNA". It matches the Rfam family "Bacterial small subunit ribosomal RNA", at positions 355 to 776 of the family's 1533-position model. The record is from RNAcentral.
UCGAGAAUCAUUCACAAUGGGGGCAACCCUGAUGGUGCAACGCCGCGUGGAGGAUGAAGGUCUUCGGAUUGUAAACUCCUGUCAUCCGGGAGUAAGACCUGGUCGUGAAUAGCGAACAGGGUUGAUAGUACCGGAAGAGGAAGGGACGGCUAACUUCGUGCCAGCAGCCGCGGUAAUACGAAGGUCCCAAGCGUUGUUCGGAAUCACUGGGCGUAAAGGGUGCGUAGGCGGUCCGGUAAGUCGGGUGUGAAAUCCCGGGGCUCAACCCCGGAACUGCACUCGAUACUGCCGGGCUAGAGGACUGGAGAGGAGACUGGAAUUCUCGGUGUAGCAGUGAAAUGCGUGGAUAUCGAGAGGAACACUCGUGGCGAAGGCGAGUCUCUGGACAGUUCCUGACGCUGAGGCACGAAGGCCAGGGGAGCGAAAGGG